This 278-nucleotide non-coding RNA is filed under the name Alkalihalophilus pseudofirmus OF4. The record is from RNAcentral. Lineage: Bacteria; Bacillati; Bacillota; Bacilli; Caryophanales; Bacillaceae.
UAUGGAAAUAGUCGCCUCAUGUGGUGACGCAUGAGUGAUAACUUGGCUUUAUCGGUGAAGUCUACGUCAUGACGAAUACGUUAUGAUAAGGUGAUGCCGAGCGGUAUGUGGAGCAAUCCAACAGCCGUGUAUCGACUUAUAGGCUGCCUACAAGGUAGUACUAGGAUGGAGCAUUCUGCAAUAGAUUGCACAAAAUACAUGUUCCAUAAUACGCCAAGGGACUUGUUGAUCAAGUUCAAGAUAUAGUCAGUGCCAUUGCGAAAGCAUGGAAUUACAUG